GCUAGCAAUAAAUCUCUCCACUGUGACUUCCGUGUCGAGUGGUCUCUCGCGACGACCCCUGCCCAGGAAGGAAUCUAAAAACUAGGUUCCUACAUUUGGUGCAUUGGCCGGGAAUGGGGGUCGCCCGAGGACCCUCGACCCCUCCGGUGGAGACACAAUUGGCCCGGGCCACCGACUGCUGACGAACGGACUCUGUCAGACUGACCUGCAGGCCCGGCUAAAAGGACUACAAGCAGUACAGGCCCAAAUCUGGGCCACCUUGGCAGAACUGUACUGGCCAGGACAUUCGCAGACCAGCCACCCCUUCCAGGUGGGGGACUCCGUCUAUGUUAGACGACACCGUUCUCAAGGACUGGAGCCUCGGUGGAAAGGACCCUACAUUGUUCUCCUGACCACACCCACAGCCAUAAAGGUUGAC
Molecule: non-coding RNA, 418 nt
Organism: Chlorocebus sabaeus (green monkey)
Lineage: Eukaryota; Metazoa; Chordata; Mammalia; Primates; Cercopithecidae
Source: RefSeq, a predicted model, not a curated record